Molecule: ribosomal RNA, 512 nt
Filed under: uncultured bacterium
Lineage: Bacteria
Description: bacterial SSU rRNA
Rfam family: Bacterial small subunit ribosomal RNA
Source: RNAcentral
GAUCAUGGCUCAGGAUGAACGCUAGCUACAGGCUUAACACAUGCAAGGUCGAGGGGCAGCAUUGGAGUAGCAAUACUCAGAUGGCGACCGGCGCACGGGUGAGUAACACGUAUCCAACCUGCCGCUUACUCGGGGAUAGCCUUUCGAAAGAAAGAUUAAUACCCGAUGGUAUAAAGAGUUCGCAUGUUCUCUUUAUUAAAGAAUUUCGGUAAGCGAUGGGGAUGCGUUCCAUUAGAUAGUUGGCGGGGUAACGGCCCACCAAGUCUACGAUGGAUAGGGGUUCUGAGAGGAAGGUCCCCCACAUUGGAACUGAGACACGGUCCAAACUCCUACGGGAGGCAGCAGUGAGGAAUAUUGGUCAAUGGACGAGAGUCUGAACCAGCCAAAGUAGCGUGAAGGAUGACUGCCCUAUGGGUUGUAAACUUCUUUUAUAAGGGAAUAAAGUGAGGGACGUGUCCCUUUUUGUAUGUACCUUAUGAAUAAGGAUCGGCUAACUCCGUGCCAGCCGCCGC